This 504-nucleotide ribosomal RNA is filed under the name uncultured bacterium. Its description in RNAcentral is "partial 16S ribosomal RNA". It matches the Rfam family "Bacterial small subunit ribosomal RNA", at positions 30 to 523 of the family's 1533-position model. The record is from RNAcentral.
AUUGAACGCUGGCGGCAGGCCUAACACAUGCAAGUCGAACGGUAGCACAGAGAGCUUGCUCUCGGGUGACGAGUGGCGGACGGGUGAGUAACGUCUGGGAAACUGCCCGAUGGAGGGGGAUAACUACUGGAAACGGUAGCUAAUACCGCAUAACGUCGCAAGACCAAAGUGGGGGACCUUCGGGCCUCACACCAUCGGAUGUGCCCAGAUGGGAUUAGCUAGUAGGUGGGGUAAUGGCUCACCUAGGCGACGAUCCCUAGCUGGUCUGAGAGGAUGACCAGCCACACUGGAACUGAGACACGGUCCAGACUCCUACGGGAGGCAGCAGUGGGGAAUAUUGCACAAUGGGCGCAAGCCUGAUGCAGCCAUGCCGCGUGUAUGAAGAAGGCCUUCGGGUUGUAAAGUACUUUCAGCGGGGAGGAAGGCGGUGAAGUUAAUAACUUCACCGAUUGACGUUACCCGCAGAAGAAGCACCGGCUAACUCCGUGCCAGCAGCCGCCGUAA